CCCCUAAAAGAAAUGUGCCCGAACAUAAGGACUAUUUUGAUAAAAUAGACAUAGAGCCUAUCGAACCUC
RNAcentral lists this transfer RNA (69 nucleotides) under Diploderma flaviceps. Its description in RNAcentral is "tRNA-Ile". The record is from RNAcentral. Lineage: Eukaryota; Metazoa; Chordata; Lepidosauria; Squamata; Agamidae.